AAAUUAUUUAGAACUCGCAAAACCCACAAUCAUAUUGUAUACUUUUCACAUAUGAAAUGUUUUCUCGACGACAUGUCACACAGUUAUAGCAAAUGGUGAACAGAGAGAGAGAGAUUGUUUACAGUGAUCGAGUCACAGUAACAACUACUUGGUAAAAUACCAAACACGCAAAUCACAAAGAUAGAGAACAUAUCAAAUCCAAACGCAACACUUGAGUAGACUGACGACACUACUUAAUAUGCAGUAGAUAACAUUGAGAGGAGUCCAUCCUGAACUCUACACACCAACAACACUUGGAACACAUUCGAUUCUGCCUCAGUUUUCCGAGCUGUAGGAGGCCUCGCCAGAUGAUGAACUCUCUAGCUGAAGCAGCUUCAUCUCCUCAUAUGCCCAUUCAAGACCAGGACAAUAGUGAAGUGGUGGAUUGAACCUGGUGUCAGAGAUGUCAUCUGGCAAAAAUGCACCAUUUCUAAUCAAGAAUUUAAUCGCUUUCUUCUUUUUCUCUUUCGCAGCAUGAUGGAGAGGAGUCCAUGCACAUGCACCCUUGGCUCGAGCAUCGAUAUCAGCACCCCUCUCAAGUAAUUCAUCCAUAACUCUCACGUGACCUCCCUUAGCAGCAAGAUGAAGUGGGGUCAUACCAAAUGAUUUUGGGCCUCCUGCCAUCACAUUUGCAUCCAUACCUUCAUUAAGAAGCCUUCUAACCUGUUUCAGGUCACCUUUCCGAGCAACAAUGUGAAGUGGAGUCCAACCGCGAUCAUCCGUAUCACCUGCAGUUAUACGCAUUCUUCUCGAUCGUCGAGUCGAACCAACCUGAUCCUCCUCCAUUUUCCUCUUCUCCGCUUUCCUAAUAAGCAAAGCUCCAAAAUCCAAUCCUUAUUGCCACAAAUUGAAACAAAUACUCAAUCCAAUUCUAUUCUUUCUUGUAGACUUAUUUCGUUAACAGUCAAUCCAAGAGGCUCAAGCUUUCUUUCUAACUUUUCAUUCUCAAUAACCCGAUCACUUAUGAUAUUACUCUGCUCUUCUUGUAUUCUCUGCUCUCUGGCUGCCUCUUGUUGAGCUCUUUUCUCACGUCUCUUCACGCUCUUGCUGGGUUUUGAAUGGUCAGUUUGACUACUGACAGAAACCCCAGCAAUGGCCUUCACCAAUGUAUCCAGAUUCCCUUUAUCCUUUCCAUUAUCAUUAUUACUAUCAUCACUGUAGCCUAAAGAAGCAAGUUCCCCAGCAUGUCCUUCUUUGAGCUUUGCAGAAAGUUUAGAUACUUCUUCGUCCACUUGUUUUUUCUUAGCUUUCUGUUCAGCUUUGCUUCCUUUAGCUGCUGCCUUUUUCAUAGCAAUUUCUUUGUCCUGUAGCUUAGAAAUUUCUUUCCUAUGCCUAGAAAGCAUCUCCUCGCGGGUUUCUAGCAUCUUCUGAGGCGCACUUUCUGAUGCUCCCUCAGGCAACUGAUCUUCUGCUUUAGGUGUAUCCUCCAUUUCAAAACUCGGAGACAGAUCCGUCUUCCACCGAUCCAAAAUUUUGGACUUCGCCGGAGCUCGAUUGGCCGGAGCUGUUUUGAGCAGUUGCUGCUGCUGUUGAUAUUGAGCUCACUGGAGUUGCUGCUACUGCCUGUUGGAGCUAUUGUUUGCAGGUUUUCACUGAUGGCGCCUUACCGAAGUUGCUGCUUCGCGGUGGUCCUCGACGGUCGCUGCUGCUGGUGGGGUUCGCCGGAAAAGAGAAGAGAGAAAAUAGCGUUUUCCGGCUCUCGCUGGCUGCUGGCGGUUGUCUCCGGUUGCAGCGCUGCCCUCUCUCACUGGUCGCUGCUGGUCGGAGCUGCGUGGCAGCUCGCUGGAGUGGAGAAGAGGAAGAGAAGAGCGAGGUGGAGGCAAGGAGGAGGAGUGGCGGCUGGGAACCGAGGGUGGAG
This 1897-nucleotide unclassified non-coding RNA is filed under the name Hevea brasiliensis (rubber tree). The record is from RNAcentral. Lineage: Eukaryota; Viridiplantae; Streptophyta; Magnoliopsida; Malpighiales; Euphorbiaceae.